This 253-nucleotide ribosomal RNA is filed under the name uncultured bacterium. RNAcentral describes it as "partial 16S ribosomal RNA". It matches the Rfam family "Bacterial small subunit ribosomal RNA", at positions 524 to 776 of the family's 1533-position model. The record is from RNAcentral.
GACAGAGGGUGCAAACGUUGUUCGGAUUUACUGGGCGUAAAGCGCGUGUAGGCGGCUUGGCAAGUCGGAUGUGAAAGCCCACGGCUCAACCGUGGAAGCGCAUCCGAAACUGCUUCGCUCGAGUCUCGGAGAGGAAGGUGGAAUGCUUGGUGUAGAGGUGAAAUGCGUAGAUAUCUGGAGGAACACCGGUGGCGAAGGCGGCAUCCUGGACCGGUAUUGACGCUGAGGCGCGAAAGCCAGGGGAGCAAACGGG